This 2123-nucleotide ribosomal RNA is filed under the name Escherichia coli. Its description in RNAcentral is "partial 23S ribosomal RNA". It matches the Rfam family "Bacterial large subunit ribosomal RNA", at positions 532 to 2640 of the family's 2925-position model. Lineage: Bacteria; Pseudomonadati; Pseudomonadota; Gammaproteobacteria; Enterobacterales; Enterobacteriaceae. The record is from RNAcentral.
AGGGGAGUGAAAAAGAACCUGAAACCGUGUACGUACAAGCAGUGGGAGCACGCUUAGGCGUGUGACUGCGUACCUUUUGUAUAAUGGGUCAGCGACUUAUAUUCUGUAGCAAGGUUAACCGAAUAGGGGAGCCGAAGGGAAACCGAGUCUUAACUGGGCGUUAAGUUGCAGGGUAUAGACCCGAAACCCGGUGAUCUAGCCAUGGGCAGGUUGAAGGUUGGGUAACACUAACUGGAGGACCGAACCGACUAAUGUUGAAAAAUUAGCGGAUGACUUGUGGCUGGGGGUGAAAGGCCAAUCAAACCGGGAGAUAGCUGGUUCUCCCCGAAAGCUAUUUAGGUAGCGCCUCGUGAAUUCAUCUCCGGGGGUAGAGCACUGUUUCGGCAAGGGGGUCAUCCCGACUUACCAACCCGAUGCAAACUGCGAAUACCGGAGAAUGUUAUCACGGGAGACACACGGCGGGUGCUAACGUCCGUCGUGAAGAGGGAAACAACCCAGACCGCCAGCUAAGGUCCCAAAGUCAUGGUUAAGUGGGAAACGAUGUGGGAAGGCCCAGACAGCCAGGAUGUUGGCUUAGAAGCAGCCAUCAUUUAAAGAAAGCGUAAUAGCUCACUGGUCGAGUCGGCCUGCGCGGAAGAUGUAACGGGGCUAAACCAUGCACCGAAGCUGCGGCAGCGACGCUGAUGCGUUGUUGGGUAGGGGAGCGUUCUGUAAGCCUGUGAAGGUGUGCUGUGAGGCAUGCUGGAGGUAUCAGAAGUGCGAAUGCUGACAUAAGUAACGAUAAAGCGGGUGAAAAGCCCGCUCGCCGGAAGACCAAGGGUUCCUGUCCAACGUUAAUCGGGGCAGGGUGAGUCGACCCCUAAGGCGAGGCCGAAAGGCGUAGUCGAUGGGAAACAGGUUAAUAUUCCUGUACUUGGUGUUACUGCGAAGGGGGGACGGAGAAGGCUAUGUUGGCCGGGCGACGGUUGUCCCGGUUUAAGCGUGUAGGCUGGUUUUCCAGGCAAAUCCGGAAAAUCAAGGCUGAGGCGUGAUGACGAGGCACUACGGUGCUGAAGCAACAAAUGCCCUGCUUCCAGGAAAAGCCUCUAAGCAUCAGGUAACAUCAAAUCGUACCCCAAACCGACACAGGUGGUCAGGUAGAGAAUACCAAGGCGCUUGAGAGAACUCGGGUGAAGGAACUAGGCAAAAUGGUGCCGUAACUUCGGGAGAAGGCACGCUGAUAUGUAGGUGAAGUCCCUCGCGGAUGGAGCUGAAAUCAGUCGAAGAUACCAGCUGGCUGCAACUGUUUAUUAAAAACACAGCACUGUGCAAACACGAAAGUGGACGUAUACGGUGUGACGCCUGCCCGGUGCCGGAAGGUUAAUUGAUGGGGUCAGCGCAAGCGAAGCUCUUGAUCGAAGCCCCGGUAAACGGCGGCCGUAACUAUAACGGUCCUAAGGUAGCGAAAUUCCUUGUCGGGUAAGUUCCGACCUGCACGAAUGGCGUAAUGAUGGCCAGGCUGUCUCCACCCGAGACUCAGUGAAAUUGAACUCGCUGUGAAGAUGCAGUGUACCCGCGGCAAGACGGAAAGACCCCGUGAACCUUUACUAUAGCUUGACACUGAACAUUGAGCCUUGAUGUGUAGGAUAGGUGGGAGGCUUUGAAGUGUGGACGCCAGUCUGCAUGGAGCCGGCCUUGAAAUACCACCCUUUAAUGUUUGAUGUUCUAACGUUGACCCGUUAUCCGGGUUGCGGACAGUGUCUGGUGGGUAGUUUGACUGGGGCGGUCUCCUCCUAAAGAGUAACGGAGGAGCACGAAGGUUGGCUAAUCCUGGUCGGACAUCAGGAGGUUAGUGCAAUGGCAUAAGCCAGCUUGACUGCGAGCGUGACGGCGCGAGCAGGUGCGAAAGCAGGUCAUAGUGAUCCGGUGGUUCUGAAUGGAAGGGCCAUCGCUCAACGGAUAAAAGGUACUCCGGGGAUAACAGGCUGAUACCGCCCAAGAGUUCAUAUCGACGGCGGUGUUUGGCACCUCGAUGUCGGCUCAUCACAUCCUGGGGCUGAAGUAGGUCCCAAGGGUAUGGCUGUUCGCCAUUUAAAGUGGUACGCGAGCUGGGUUUAGAACGUCGUGAGACAGUUCGGUCCCUA